CACGCCGUAAACGAUGAGCACUAGGUGUCGGGUUCGUGAGGACUCGGUGCCGCAGCUAACGCAUUAAGUGCUCCGCCUGGGGAGUACGCACGCAAGUGUGAAACUCAAAGGAAUUGACGGGGACCCGCACAAGCAGCGGAGCAUGUGGUUUAAUUCGAAGCAACGCGAAGAACCUUACCAGGGCUUGACAUCCCUCUGACGGAUCGGGUAAUUCUGAUCUUCUCUUCGGAGCAGAGGUGACAGGUGG
RNAcentral lists this ribosomal RNA (247 nucleotides) under uncultured bacterium. RNAcentral describes it as "partial 16S ribosomal RNA". It matches the Rfam family "Bacterial small subunit ribosomal RNA", at positions 796 to 1041 of the family's 1533-position model. The record is from RNAcentral.